Molecule: ribosomal RNA, 426 nt
Filed under: uncultured bacterium
Lineage: Bacteria
Description: bacterial SSU rRNA
Rfam family: Bacterial small subunit ribosomal RNA
Source: RNAcentral
GUAGGGAAUAUUGCAUAAUGGGCGCAAGCCUGAUGCAGCAACGCCGCGUGCGCGAUGAAGGCCUUCGGGUUGUAAAGCGCUUUUAGCUGGGAAGAGCAAGGACGGUACCAGCAGAAUCAGCCUCGGCUAACUACGUGCCAGCAGCCGCGGUAAAACGUAGGAGGCGAGCGUUAUCCGGAUUUACUGGGUGUAAAGCGCGUGCAGGCGGUUUAUUAAGUUGGGUGUGAAAGCUCCUGGCUCAACUGGGAGAGGUCGCUCAAGACUGAUAGACUAGAGAGCAGUAGGGGAAGGUGGAAUUCCGGGUGUAGUGGUGAAAUGCGUAGAUAUCCGGAGGAACACCAGUGGCGAAGGCGGCCUUCUAGACUGUAUCUGACGCUCAGACGCGAAAGCUAGGGUAGCAAACGGGAUUAGAAACCCGAGUAGUCC